RNAcentral lists this ribosomal RNA (698 nucleotides) under Streptococcus agalactiae. Its description in RNAcentral is "bacterial SSU rRNA". It matches the Rfam family "Bacterial small subunit ribosomal RNA", at positions 1 to 683 of the family's 1533-position model. Lineage: Bacteria; Bacillati; Bacillota; Bacilli; Lactobacillales; Streptococcaceae. The record is from RNAcentral.
UUAAUGAGAGUUUGAUCCUGGCUCAGGACGAACGCUGGCGGCGUGCCUAAUACAUGCAAGUAGAACGCUGAGGUUUGGUGUUUACACUAGACUGAUGAGUUGCGAACGGGUGAGUAACGCGUAGGUAACCUGCCUCAUAGCGGGGGAUAACUAUUGGAAACGAUAGCUAAUACCGCAUAAGAGUAAUUAACACAUGUUGGUUAUUUAAAAGGAGCAAUUGCUUCACUGUGAGAUGGACCUGCGUUGUAUUAGCUAGUUGGUGAGGUAAAGGCUCACCAAGGCGACGAUACAUAGCCGACCUGAGAGGGUGAUCGGCCACACUGGGACUGAGACACGGCCCAGACUCCUACGGGAGGCAGCAGUAGGGAAUCUUCGGCAAUGGACGGAAGUCUGACCGAGCAACGCCGCGUGAGUGAAGAAGGUUUUCGGAUCGUAAAGCUCUGUUGUUAGAGAAGAACGUUGGUAGGAGUGGAAAAUCUACCAAGUGACGGUAACUAACCAGAAAGGGACGGCUAACUACGUGCCAGCAGCCGCGGUAAUACGUAGGUCCCGAGCGUUGUCCGGAUUUAUUGGGCGUAAAGCGAGCGCAGGCGGUUCUUUAAGUCUGAAGUUAAAGGCAGUGGCUUAACCAUUGUACGCUUUGGAAACUGGAGGACUUGAGUGCAGAAGGGGAGAGUGGAAUUCCAUGUGUAGCGGUG